This is a long non-coding RNA of Homarus americanus (American lobster), 259 nucleotides long. RefSeq lists it as uncharacterized. NCBI's taxonomy places the organism in Eukaryota, Metazoa, Arthropoda, Malacostraca, Decapoda, Nephropidae. The record is from RefSeq and is a predicted model, not a curated record. The transcript is spliced from 3 exons.
GGAUGUUCCUUUGACCAAGACCUAAUGGAUGAUGCUAAGGCUUCCACUACCACCAGGGCAACAUAAACAUUACUGCUGUUCUUAUUACGACAUGAUGGGUGAAAGUUAACAGUUACUCGAAGGACCGUAACACACCAUAACACAUUACACUACAGCUUCCCAAAUCAAAUUGUGUCGGAGAUAUCACCGACCAGGGAAUUACUACACCACGUGAGGCCCCUCAUAAUACCAUCUGUGAGGGAAUUACUACACCACGAGA